This 75-nucleotide transfer RNA is filed under the name Acinetobacter baumannii. RNAcentral describes it as "tRNA-Met". It matches the Rfam family "tRNA". From Rfam's summary of the family: Transfer RNA (tRNA) molecules are approximately 80 nucleotides in length. Their secondary structure includes four short double-helical elements and three loops (D, anti-codon, and T loops). Lineage: Bacteria; Pseudomonadati; Pseudomonadota; Gammaproteobacteria; Moraxellales; Moraxellaceae. The record is from RNAcentral.
GGCUGUAGCUCAGUUGGUUAGAGCACCGCACUCAUAAUGCGGGGGUCACAAGUUCAAGUCUCGUCAUAGCCACCA